GGCAGUUCUCGGGUGAUGCACCCUGGAAUUGGGCUCCCUCCUCUCUGGUUCCAGGUACGUCAUCUGAGAACUGCA
Myotis davidii is the source of this 75-nucleotide non-coding RNA. Lineage: Eukaryota; Metazoa; Chordata; Mammalia; Chiroptera; Vespertilionidae. The record is from Rfam.